GAGACUCUGUGCGCGUGCAUAUCAAUAAGCGGAGGAAAAGAAACUAACAAGGAUUCCCCUAGUAACGGCGAGUGAAGCGGGAAGAGCUCAAAUUUGAAAUCUUCAAGGUUUGACCUUGACGAAUUGUAGUUUAAAGAAGUGUUUUCGGUUAGAGGAGUAGUAAAAGUUCUUUGGAAUAGGACAUCAUAGAGGGUGAGAAUCCCGUAUUUGACUAUUCUUUCUAGCUUUGUGAUACACUUUCAAAGAGUCGGAUUGUUUGGGAAUGCAGUCCAAAAUGGGUGGUAAAUUUCAUCUAAAGCUAAAUAUUGGCGAGAGACCGAUAGCGAACAAGUACCGUGAGGGAAAGAUGAAAAGAACUUUGAAAAGAGAGUUAAACAGUACGUGAAACUGUCAAAAGGGAAGCGUUUGACACCAGUGUUGUUUUUCCGAAAAUCAAUUACGAAUGUUUUGUUUUUGAGAAGUUAUGACUUCAUCGGCUUGCUUCUUUCUUUACGAAACUUUCUUAAUGCACUUUUCGGUUAACAAGUCAACAUCAAUUUCUUUUGUUGUAAAAGGGUAUGAGGAAGGUGGCUUUCUUUUCGGAGAAAGUGUUUAUAGCCUUGUACCUCUGCAAUCGGAGAGAUUGAGGUCUGCAGCGUAGAUCCUUCGGGGUUAGAUACAUUUGUGCUAAGUUAUAGCUUUUCAUAGACAACUUGUUGACUAUGUUUAGUCUUGUAGCUUACUCGCUUAUGCUAUUUUACCUACGCUUAGGAUGUUGAAGUCAUCGUAUCGCGC
RNAcentral lists this ribosomal RNA (774 nucleotides) under uncultured Neocallimastigales. RNAcentral's name for it is "partial large subunit ribosomal RNA". It matches the Rfam family "Eukaryotic large subunit ribosomal RNA", at positions 23 to 645 of the family's 3401-position model. Lineage: Eukaryota; Fungi; Neocallimastigomycota; Neocallimastigomycetes; Neocallimastigales. The record is from RNAcentral.